RNAcentral lists this ribosomal RNA (461 nucleotides) under uncultured bacterium. RNAcentral describes it as "bacterial SSU rRNA". It matches the Rfam family "Bacterial small subunit ribosomal RNA", at positions 29 to 506 of the family's 1533-position model. The record is from RNAcentral.
ACGAACGCUAGCGGCGUGCCUAAGGUAUGCAAGUCGAGCGGUUCUCAAUCCUUCGGGAGUGAGGAUAGCGGCGAACGGUCGAGUAACACGUAGACAACCUGCCUCCAGGUGGGGGAUAACUCGGGGAAACCCGGGCUAAUACCGCAUGCAGCCGAGAGUGGCCUCACUCUCUGGCUAAAGGAGCAAUUCGCCUGGAGAUGGGUCUGCGGCCUAUCAGCUAGUUGGUGGGGUAACGGCCCACCAAGGCGACGACGGGUAGCUGGUCUGAGAGGAUGAUCAGCCGGACGGGGACUGAGACACGGCCCCGACUCCUUCGGGAGGCAGCAAUGAGGGAUAUUGCACAAUGGGCGAAAGCCUGAUGCAGCGACGCCGCGUGGGUGAGGAAGUCCUUCGGGAUGUAAAGCCCUUUUGUUGGGGACGAAAAUGACGGUACCCAACGAAUAAGCCCCGGCUAACUACGU